UACGAAGGUGGCAAGCGUUACUCGGAAUUACUAGGCGUAAAGGGCAGGUAGGUGGUUUGAUAAGUCUGUUGUGAAAGCUCCUGGCUCAACUGGGAGAGGCCAACGGAAACUAUCAGGCUGGAGUAUGGGAGAGGGUUCUGGAAUUCCCGGUGUAGCGGUGAAAUGCGCAGAGAUCGGGAGGAACACCAAUGGCGAAAGCAGGAGCCUGGACCAUUACUGACACUAAGCUGCGAAAGCUAGGGGAGCAAACAGG
This 253-nucleotide ribosomal RNA is filed under the name uncultured bacterium. Its description in RNAcentral is "partial 16S ribosomal RNA". It matches the Rfam family "Bacterial small subunit ribosomal RNA", at positions 524 to 776 of the family's 1533-position model. The record is from RNAcentral.